AAGUCGAGGGGCAGCAUGAUUGAAGCUUGCUUCAAUCGAUGGCGACCGGCGCACGGGUGAGUAACACGUAUCCAACCUGCCGAUAACUCGGGGAUAGCCUUUCGAAAGAAAGAUUAAUACCCGAUAGCAUAGUUUUUCCGCAUGGUUUCACUAUUAAAGAAUUUCGGUUAUCGAUGGGGAUGCGUUCCAUUAGAUAGUUGGCGGGGUAACGGCCCACCAAGCCUUCGAUGGAUAGGGGUUCUGAGAGGAAGGUCCCCACAUUGGAACUGAGACACGGUCCAAACUCC
This 287-nucleotide ribosomal RNA is filed under the name uncultured Bacteroides sp. RNAcentral describes it as "partial 16S ribosomal RNA". It matches the Rfam family "Bacterial small subunit ribosomal RNA", at positions 59 to 339 of the family's 1533-position model. The record is from RNAcentral. Lineage: Bacteria; Pseudomonadati; Bacteroidota; Bacteroidia; Bacteroidales; Bacteroidaceae.